RNAcentral lists this unclassified non-coding RNA (3341 nucleotides) under Leishmania donovani. RNAcentral's name for it is "gene:unknown". The record is from RNAcentral. Lineage: Eukaryota; Euglenozoa; Kinetoplastea; Trypanosomatida; Trypanosomatidae.
CGCCUCUGCUACUGUGCCGGCCCAUCUUCUGCACCAAUUCGCAUGUAAGCGGCCACUGCGCUCCGCCCCUGUGCAGUCUCUGCCCGUCUGCAGCGACGCCGGAGAAGCGCGGCACCUGCACUCACUUCAAGAGAGACGCAGCCGCAGACAUCUUCAAGAACAGGAACAUGGCAUCCAGGCUCCAUCUCAUCGCUACAGCCAACCUCCUUUGCUUUCGCCAGUCGCCCAUGUGACGCCUGUGCUCCUCUUCACACUCCACGCCGAUCAGCACCGUCGUCUGGCCCUCACCCCCUUCUCUCUCUCUGCGGCACCCCCACGUGAUGAUUCGCCGUGCAUUCCUGUGGUAUCUGAUGCAUCUUGCAUGAACACGAAAAAACGCAACGAGCGCCCUUCGCGACGAAGCGGUGCGAACUGAGUGGGGCUGCACGCGCGUGAGUGCGUGCCCAUGGCGUGCUGCGUUGCUCGCGGUGCAGCACUGCUGCUCCUGCGGUGCAUGUGAGUGUGGCCGCUGUCCCCCCUUCCUGUGUGUGUGCCUUCGCCGUGGUGAUGCCAGACACGAUUCUAUUACCUGUGGGAUCUGAUCAAGUGUUGCAUUGAUGCGAAGCAGAACGAUGCACGCGUGCAGCGUGUUAGACUGAGGCGGCGGAGUUUUGAGUGUGGCGGCGCCGGUGCGCAUCCGCACACGCAUACCAAUCUGCGAAAGAGGGCUAUCGAGCGCGCGUGUGCGUGCACGAAGGUUCUCCUGCAUCCCCCCCCCCACGUGAUGAUUCGCCGUGCAUUCCUGUGGUAUCUGAUGCAUCUUGCAUGAACACGAAAAAACGCAACGAGCGCCCUUCGCGACGAAGCGGUGCGAACUGAGUGGGGCUGCACGCGCGUGAGUGCGUGCCCAUGGCGUGCUGCGUUGCUCGCGGUGCAGCACUGCUGCUCCUGCGGUGCAUGUGAGUGUGGCCGCUGUCCCCCCUUCCUGUGUGUGUGCCUUCGCCGUGGUGAUGCCAGACACGAUUCUAUUACCUGUGGGAUCUGAUCAAGUGUUGCAUUGAUGCGAAGCAGAACGAUGCACGCGUGCAGCGUGUUAGACUGAGGCGGCGGAGUUUUGAGUGUGGCGGCGCCGGUGCGCAUCCGCACACGCAUACCAAUCUGCGAAAGAGGGCUAUCGAGCGCGCGUGUGCGUGCACGAAGCUUCUCCUGCAUCCCCCCCCCCCCCACGUGAUGAUUCGCCGUGCAUUCCUGUGGUAUCUGAUGCAUCUUGCAUGAACACGAAAAAACGCAACGAGCGCCCUUCGCGACGAAGCGGUGCGAACUGAGUGGGGCUGCACGCGCGUGAGUGCGUGCCCAUGGCGUGCUGCGUUGCUCGCGGUGCAGCACUGCUGCUCCUGCGGUGCAUGUGAGUGUGGCCGCUGUCCCCCCUUCCUGUGUGUGUGCCUUCGCCGUGGUGAUGCCAGACACGAUUCUAUUACCUGUGGGAUCUGAUCAAGUGUUGCAUUGAUGCGAAGCAGAACGAUGCACGCGUGCAGCGUGUUAGACUGAGGCGGCGGAGUUUUGAGUGUGGCGGCGCCGGUGCGCAUCCGCACACGCAUACCAAUCUGCGAAAGAGGGCUAUCGAGCGCGCGUGUGCGUGCACGAAGCUUCUCCUGCAUCCCCCCCCCACGUGAUGAUUCGCCGUGCAUUCCUGUGGUAUCUGAUGCAUCUUGCAUGAACACGAAAAAACGCAACGAGCGCCCUUCGCGACGAAGCGGUGCGAACUGAGUGGGGCUGCACGCGCGUGAGUGCGUGCCCAUGGCGUGCUGCGUUGCUCGCGGUGCAGCACUGCUGCUCCUGCGGUGCAUGUGAGUGUGGCCGCUGUCCCCCCUUCCUGUGUGUGUGCCUUCGCCGUGGUGAUGCCAGACACGAUUCUAUUACCUGUGGGAUCUGAUCAAGUGUUGCAUUGAUGCGAAGCAGAACGAUGCACGCGUGCAGCGUGUUAGACUGAGGCGGCGGAGUUUUGAGUGUGGCGGCGCCGGUGCGCAUCCGCACACGCAUACCAAUCUGCGAAAGAGGGCUAUCGAGCGCGCGUGUGCGUGCACGAAGCUUCUCCUGCAUCCCCCCCCCCCCCACGUGAUGAUUCGCCGUGCAUUCCUGUGGUAUCUGAUGCAUCUUGCAUGAACACGAAAAAACGCAACGAGCGCCCUUCGCGACGAAGCGGUGCGAACUGAGUGGGGCUGCACGCGCGUGAGUGCGUGCCCAUGGCGUGCUGCGUUGCUCGCGGUGCAGCACUGCUGCUCCUGCGGUGCAUGUGAGUGUGGCCGCUGUCCCCCCUUCCUGUGUGUGUGCCUUCGCCGUGGUGAUGCCAGACACGAUUCUAUUACCUGUGGGAUCUGAUCAAGUGUUGCAUUGAUGCGAAGCAGAACGAUGCACGCGUGCAGCGUGUUAGACUGAGGCGGCGGAGUUUUGAGUGUGGCGGCAGCGAUGUGCCACUGGAGCGAGAGUGCGCUCCGUGAGAGUGACUAUGGUUCACGGUGCUCGAUGCGACGGUGACAUUGUGUGAAAGGAGCGUGGGUGUCUUCCGUUGUAGGUGUUGGAGAGUUUGGAGGGGAUAGGAUGGUGGUGCGGCGUAGCUGCGGUGAGAAUUCGGAUGGUACGGCGCAGUGUCUGUUGCCUGCGAGGAGCAGGCCUCAUCGCUGUCGUUAGCGUUUCUUGUCUUACUCUUGCCGUCCUUCCCAAUGCCUGAAGCUGUGCUGGGGUGUAUGCGAUGUGCGAGUGUAUGUCUUGGGAGGGAGCCGCUUGUCCUGCGUCUCUCGAUUCUCAUAUCAGGCGCUCACUGAUCAGGCUUUGGGCGCAGAGUGGCGGGGGGUGGUGGUGGAAAAGGUGCCGAGCGAUGGAGAGAGCCGUACGGUGGGGCUGCUCAUGGAUGGAGGAACAUAUCUGCGGAGAAAACAGGACGCUGCUCGCAUGACGCCCAUAUCGUGCCUGAGGUGAAGGUUCAUCAUCACAGGCGGAAGGCGAAUGGCGAGAUGUCUGGAUGCGUGCCGCUGUGUGCUCAUUCUCCGCCUGCACCCGCUCUCUUCGUUCAGGCGACGAAGGGCGGCGACAGUCGUGGCGCUCUAUGCUUUCUGUGACGCUGAGACAUUUCGCAUGUGUGUCUGCAUGUGUGUGCCUUUGGGGCUCACGCUCCUCUCCCUUAGCAGCCGGUGGCGCUGCUGUUCAUCUUUCACGUUGCGUUUUGUACAUGUGCACGCGCUUCUGUCCAUCUUGCCUCCCCUCCUGACCACUCCCCCUCCGCCCGUUUCCAUGAAACACAUACGCGGCUGCGAAUGCCACUCGCGCUUGCUUCUUCAUCUGUGAGCGCGGCGGGGCACCGCAAG